RNAcentral lists this ribosomal RNA (253 nucleotides) under uncultured microorganism. RNAcentral describes it as "partial 16S ribosomal RNA". It matches the Rfam family "Bacterial small subunit ribosomal RNA", at positions 524 to 776 of the family's 1533-position model. The record is from RNAcentral.
UACGUAGGGUGCGAGCGUUAAUCGGAUUUACUGGGCGUAAAGCGUGCGCAGGCGGCCCGUUAAGACAGGUGUGAAAUCCCUGGGCUCAACCUAGGAAUUGCGCUUGUGACUGGCGGGCUCGAGUACGGUAGAGGGGGGUGGAAUUCCUGGUGUAGCAGUGAAAUGCGUAGAGAUCAGGAGGAACACCGAUGGCGAAGGCGGCCUCCUGGGCCUGCACUGACGCUGAGGCGCGAAAGCGUGGGGAGCAAACAGG